RNAcentral lists this ribosomal RNA (384 nucleotides) under uncultured bacterium. RNAcentral describes it as "bacterial SSU rRNA". It matches the Rfam family "Bacterial small subunit ribosomal RNA", at positions 30 to 413 of the family's 1533-position model. The record is from RNAcentral.
AUUGAACGCUGGCGGCAUGCCUUACACAUGCAAGUCGAACGGCAGCACGGGAGCAAUCCUGGUGGCGAGUGGCGAACGGGUGAGUAAUGUAUCGGAACGUACCUUUCAGUGGGGGAUAACGUAGCGAAAGUUACGCUAAUACCGCAUAUUCUGUGAGCAGGAAAGCAGGGGAUCGCAAGACCUUGCGCUGAUUGAGCGGCCGAUAUCAGAUUAGCUAGUUGGUGAGGUAAAGGCGUCACCAAGGCGACGAUCUGUAGCGGGUCUGAGAGGAUGAUCCGCCACACUGGAACUGAGACACGGUCCAGACUCCUACGGGAGGCAGCAGUGGGGAAUUUUGGACAAUGGGCGUAAGCCUGAUCCAGCCAUGCCGCGUGAGUGAGAAGG